GAUGAACGCUGGCGGCGUGCCUAAUACAUGCAAGUCGAGCGGACCAAAGAGAGCUUGCUCUCUGAGGUUAGCGGCGGACGGGUGAGUAACACGUGGGUAACCUGCCUGUAAGACGGGGAUAACUUCGGGAAACCGAAGCUAAUACCGGAUGAUAAAGAGAAACGCCUGUUUCUUUUUUGAAAGUCGGCCUUGUGCUGACUCUUACAGAUGGGCCCGCGGCGCAUUAGCUAGUUGGUGAGGUAACGGCUCACAAAGGCGACGAUGCGUAGCCGACCUGAGAGGGUGAUCGGCCACACUGGGACUGAGACACGGCCCAGACUCCUACGGGAGGCAGCAGUAGGGAAUCUUCGGCAAUGGACGAAAGUCUGACCGAGCAACGCCGCGUGAGCGAUGAAGGCCUUCGGGUCGUAAAGCUCUGUUGUCAGAGAAGAACAAGUACCGGAGUAACUGCCGGUACCUUGACGGUACCUGACCAGAAAGCCACGGCUAACUACGUGCCAGCCGCCGCAGUAA
RNAcentral lists this ribosomal RNA (513 nucleotides) under uncultured bacterium. Its description in RNAcentral is "partial 16S ribosomal RNA". It matches the Rfam family "Bacterial small subunit ribosomal RNA", at positions 28 to 523 of the family's 1533-position model. The record is from RNAcentral.